CACCUGGGUGCUGCUUUCUGUGAAAAGUCACAAGCCCUUUUGAGUGCAAAGCCCAUGAAGCAGAGGCGAUUCACAUUACCUAGGUGAUGAUCCCAAAGAUAUUUCACAAUGCUCUCUGUGGGGAGGUCCCAGGGAGAUAAGUCACCUCACUUGUGUGCUGGGCUCAGAAAACAUCACAAUCUUUUCUGAUGGAAGAGCCCAGGAAAGAAGGAAGAGCCACAUCACCUAGGUGCUGAACCCAGUGAUUUGUCAAAAUCUCUAUUGUGAGCAGAGUCCAGGCAAGUGAGGAGAGUCAUAUCUUUUAGGUGAUUGGUACAGAGAUAUUUCCCAAUGCCCCCUGUGCACAUGGGCCAGACCAAAGGCACACAUAAGCAACAUUACCUUGUUGCUUAGCCCAGUGAUAUGUCAUUAUGCUUCUUGAGGCCAGGGCACAAACAGGAUCAGACAGUCACAUCAUUAAGUACUAGGCUUAGUGAUAUAUUAUAACCUUACCUGUGGGCAGGGUCCAGUUAGGGGAAAAGCUUUACAUCACCUAUGUUCAAAGUAGAGAGAUAUAUCACAAUUCCUUUGAGGGAAGUGUCUAGGCAAAAUAGUCACAUCACCUAGGUGUUUGUCCCAGGUAUAAGUCACAAGAUAUCUCUGUGCUGAGCUCAAAAGAACUGUCAAAUCACUAAGGUUCUAGGUGGAGGUGUAUGUCACAAUUAUACCUGUGGGAAGGCCCAGAAAUGAGACCCCCAAUCCCACAUAUUUACCCACUCCAAGUAGAACAGUCAACAGCUCCUGUGAGUUGGGUCCAAGUACAUGAGUCACAAUCUCAACAGCGGAAUGCAUCCUCAUGUGAGAGCCCCAAUCCCUUCUGCAAGUUGUGUCCUGGUAUAAGACAUCAUCCAGCCACUUGUCCAGGGAGCACAUCCCAAUCCAGUUCCUGACCAGACAGGGAUCUGCCACUCUUUCCAGCUGGGUGACCUGGUAUAUGUUAAAAAGUUCCAGAAGGAAGGACUCACUCCUGCCUGGAAAGGACCUCAUACUGUUAUCCUCACCAUGCCAAAAGCUCUGAAAGUAGACAGCAUUCCUGCUUGGAUUCAUCACCCUCACAUCAAGAAGACCAACAAAGCCCAGCAAGAAACAUGGGUCCCCAAGCCUGGGACAGGCCCCUUAAAACUGUGUCUAAGUCGACUGAAGCC
RNAcentral lists this long non-coding RNA (1184 nucleotides) under Homo sapiens (human). RNAcentral describes it as "HSALNT0385534". Lineage: Eukaryota; Metazoa; Chordata; Mammalia; Primates; Hominidae. The record is from RNAcentral.